This 439-nucleotide ribosomal RNA is filed under the name uncultured bacterium. Its description in RNAcentral is "partial 16S ribosomal RNA". It matches the Rfam family "Bacterial small subunit ribosomal RNA", at positions 338 to 795 of the family's 1533-position model. The record is from RNAcentral.
CCUACGGGAGGCAGCAGUGGGGAAUUUUGCGCAAUGGGGGAAACCCUGACGCAGCAACGCCGCGUGCGGGAUGACGGCCCUCGGGUUGUAAACCGCUUUCAGCAGGGAAGAUAUUGACGGUACCUGCAGAAGAAGCUCCGGCUAACUACGUGCCAGCAGCCGCGGUAAUACGUAGGGAGCGAGCGUUAUCCGGAUUCAUUGGGCGUAAAGCGCGCGUAGGCGGCUGCCUAAGCGGAACCUCUAACCCCGGGGCUCAACCUCGGGCCGGGUUCCGAACUGGGCGGCUCGAGUGCGGUAGAGGAGAGCGGAAUUCCCGGUGUAGCGGUGGAAUGCGCAGAUAUCGGGAAGAACACCGAUGGCGAAGGCAGCUCUCUGGGCCGGCACUGACGCUGAGGCGCGAAAGCUGGGGGAGCGAACAGGAUUAGAUACCCGAGUAGUC